Molecule: transfer RNA, 88 nt
Filed under: Pseudomonadota bacterium
Lineage: Bacteria; Pseudomonadati; Pseudomonadota
Description: Proteobacteria bacterium (cold seep metagenome) tRNA-Ser
Rfam family: tRNA
About the family: Transfer RNA (tRNA) molecules are approximately 80 nucleotides in length. Their secondary structure includes four short double-helical elements and three loops (D, anti-codon, and T loops).
Source: RNAcentral
GGAGAGGUGGCAGAGUGGUCGAAUGCGCACGCUUGGAAAGCGUGUAAACCGCAAGGUUUCGGGGGUUCGAACCCCCCCCUCUUCGCCA